Molecule: ribosomal RNA, 241 nt
Filed under: uncultured Actinomycetales bacterium
Lineage: Bacteria; Bacillati; Actinomycetota; Actinomycetes; Actinomycetales
Description: partial 16S ribosomal RNA
Rfam family: Bacterial small subunit ribosomal RNA
Source: RNAcentral
ACUCGAGUGGCGAACGGGUGAGUAACACGUGGGUGAUCUGCCCUGCACUUCGGGAUAAGCCUGGGAAACUGGGUCUAAUACCGGAUAGGACCACAUUUUGGAUGGUGUGGUGGAAAGUUUUUCGGUGUGGGAUGAGCUCGCGGCCUAUCAGCUUGUUGGUGGGGUAAUGGCCUACCAAGGCGUCGACGGGUAGCCGACCUGAGAGGGUGUACGGCCACAUUGGGACUGAGAUACGGCCCAG